Molecule: long non-coding RNA, 809 nt
Organism: Herpailurus yagouaroundi (jaguarundi)
Lineage: Eukaryota; Metazoa; Chordata; Mammalia; Carnivora; Felidae
Exons: 3
Source: RefSeq, a predicted model, not a curated record
GUCGGCGCCCGCCCGUCGCGCCGCCUCACCGCCGUACCACCCGCCGCCUCCUCUGCAACCUCAGCCCACCGGGCGGACCCGGCCCAGGUCACUGGCGGCCCAGGCGCAGGCUCACACCCUAGAUUGCUGUAUCACCACAGAAGAAGAGCUCCACCUCUGAAGUUGUAAACGCAGACACCUGAUCUCUGACUGUCCCUUGGCUGUUCUUAGAAUUCUGCCCACUGUUGCCUGGCCUGUGGAAGCCUCCAGUCCACUUGUCCUUCUACUUUGUUGUUUCUUGGAAACAGUGGCCUGCUCUAAAGACUCCAUUUGCUUCAUCUUUCCUAUAUUUCAUAGUCCCUGGAAAUUCUCACUUCUGCCUCACCACAUCACUGAAACCUCCUUCAUUAAAGACAUUAAAGUUCUAGUCUUUACCUUGCUUGACCUUUCAACAGCAUUUGUCAUUGCUGUCCUGUCUUGCUUCCUCAGUCACUCUUAUUUUUAUAUGACCGCCCCCACCUGAUUUCCUCUUAUAUCUCUAGUCUCCCCACCCCUCCCCCAUGCUUCUCUGUAGCCUCUUUUCCUUGGCCAUGAGAGAAACCAAGUCACUCUCCUUGGGCAGUCUUAUCCACUGCAUGGUUCCACUUCCACAAGUGAUGCCCCUCAAAGCUUAUAUCGCCAGCCCAGCCCUUGACCCUGAGUUCCAGACCCAAAUAGCCAGCCAUAGACUUCUACAUCUCCGUCUGACAUCACCUUGCAUGCACGUGUCCACGGCUGAAUUGAUCACUCUCUCACUUCCACUCCAACUUCUCCUUCACUGUCCCCUGUCU